GUGCUUGUGUUGGUAGCACAUAUACUAAAAUUAGAAGGAUACAGAGAAGAUUAGCAUGACAGCAAGGACAAACAUGCAAAUACAUGAAGUAUUCCAUAUUUUU
Hyaena hyaena (striped hyena) is the source of this 103-nucleotide small nuclear RNA. NCBI's taxonomy places the organism in Eukaryota, Metazoa, Chordata, Mammalia, Carnivora, Hyaenidae. The record is from RefSeq and is a predicted model, not a curated record.